RNAcentral lists this ribosomal RNA (456 nucleotides) under uncultured Enterobacteriaceae bacterium. RNAcentral's name for it is "bacterial SSU rRNA". It matches the Rfam family "Bacterial small subunit ribosomal RNA", at positions 927 to 1382 of the family's 1533-position model. Lineage: Bacteria; Pseudomonadati; Pseudomonadota; Gammaproteobacteria; Enterobacterales; Enterobacteriaceae. The record is from RNAcentral.
AAGCGGUGGAGCAUGUGGUUUAAUUCGAUGCAACGCGAAGAACCUUUACCUGGUCUUGACAUCCACGGAAGUUUUCAGAGAUGAGAAUGUGCCUUCGGGAACCGUGAGACAGGUGCUGCAUGGCUGUCGUCAGCUCGUGUUGUGAAAUGUUGGGUUAAGUCCCGCAACGAGCGCAACCCUUAUCCUUUGUUGCCAGCGGUCCGGCCGGGAACUCAAAGGAGACUGCCAGUGAUAAACUGGAGGAAGGUGGGAUGACGUCAAGUCAUCAUGGCCCUUACGACCAGGGCUACACACGUGCUACAAUGGCGCAUACAAAGAGAAGCGACCUCGCGAGAGCAAGCGGACCUCAUAAAGUGCGUCGUAGUCCGGAUUGGAGUCUGCAACUCGACUCCAUGAAGUCGGAAUCGCUAGUAAUCGUGGAUCAGCCAAGCCGCGGUGAAUACGUUCCCGGGCCUU